This 403-nucleotide ribosomal RNA is filed under the name uncultured bacterium. RNAcentral describes it as "partial 16S ribosomal RNA". It matches the Rfam family "Bacterial small subunit ribosomal RNA", at positions 28 to 526 of the family's 1533-position model. The record is from RNAcentral.
GACGAACGCUGGCGGCGUGCCUAAUACAUGCAAGUCGAACGCAGUGGGGACGGGUGAGUAACACGUGGGUAACCUCCCAUCAGAGGGGAUAACACUUGGAAACAGGUGCUAAACCGAUACUGAUGGAUGGACCCGCGGUGCAUUAGCUAGUUGGUGAGGUAACGGCUCACCAAGGCCACGAUGCCGAGCCGACCUGAGAGGGUGAUCGGCCAACACGGGGCUGAGACACGGCCCCGAAUCCCACGGGGUGGCGCAGUGGGGAAUCUUGGGCAAUGGGCGAAAGUCUUACCCAGCCACGCCGGGUGAGGGAAGAAGGGUUUCGGAUCGUAAAACUCUGUUGUUAGGGAAGCGGUAUCCAACCAGAAAGCCACGGCUAACUACGUGCCAGCAGCCGCGGUAAUUC